Molecule: long non-coding RNA, 1291 nt
Filed under: Chloebia gouldiae (Gouldian finch)
Lineage: Eukaryota; Metazoa; Chordata; Aves; Passeriformes; Passeridae
Description: Erythrura gouldiae (Gouldian finch) lncRNA (ENSEGOG00005009410.1)
Source: RNAcentral
GGCCUGGCAGCUGUGGGGACACCCAGCCACGCUGUGCCCCUGGGUGCUGGCUCCGCCACAGGACAUUUCUGCCCGGCGUCCCCCUUGGGGCCAGUCUGGACUUGCUCCUCCUCUUGUGCAAACAGGAUUUGGGCAGAUAAGGGGCACUGCCAGCGCUGCCCGGCAAACCUGCUCUGUCCCACGUGGCCACGGGAGAGUCCUCACCACGCCUGGCCCUGAGGGUGCCCGGUGGGUGCCACAAGGUCCCUAUGCCUUGGCACUGCCCGCUGCUGCCAGGCCGCUCUGCUUGUCCCCAGCAGUGCUGUGCCCGUGCCACAACACCUUGGGAAGCUCUUUGUUAUUCUGGAUUUUGGUACUGGCUAAAUCCCAGUUUUCUGUGUGAUAAAAACCACCUGGGAAGUGAUCCCUGUGAGGUGGGGCAGGUGCUGCCAGGCUCCUUCCAUGUGGUUGCUCAGCAGCUCUCUCCUCUGCGGUCUAGGGCCAGCACCUGCCAGCGCAGUGUCUCAGAACAGCUCAGGGACAGCCGUGUCACCGUCUCCAUCCCGUUCAGCCAGAGCCAGCAGCCAGGGGACUCAGGGUGUGAGUCUCUCUGGCCGUGACCUGGGAGCACUCAGUGCAUCUCUAUCGACAGCAGCAGUUCCAUCCAAUUCCUCCAGUACCGCCCCAGGGCCAACAACACCCCCAUCACCUUCAUCCAACACCACCACCACAACUCCAUCCAGUACCUUGGGAUCAAUACCUCCAUCACCUUCAUCCAGCCCAACCACCACAACUCCAUCCAGUACCUCGGGAUCAACACGUCCAUCUUCUCCAUCCAGCACCACCACAGCUCCAUCUUCAGCCGGGACACCGGGAUCAACACCUUUGACACCCUCAUCCAAUGCCACCACGGCACCAACUCCAUCCCACACGAGUGUGUCCAGAUCCACAGAGCAUCCAUCCAACUCCACCACACCGCCAGCCCCAUCCUCACCCAGGCCCUCUGUUCCUGCUUCUCCCAGCUCCCCCACGCCCACCGUGAGCCCCAACAGCACCAGCACUGUCACCACCAGCUCCAGAGCGACAGCAGCCCCUGGCAGCACAGCUGGGAGCUCCGAGCAGCACCCCGCAGAGCUGAGCCCCGCUGUGGUCGCCCUCAUCUCCCUCGCCGUCUGCCUGCUGGUGGCGGGGGUGGCCGUGCUGCUGGUGCGGCUGUCCCGGCGCGGGACCCCCCGCUUCCAACACCUGGAUGAGGUGCCCAUGAGCAAAGUGAUGGAGGGGUCCCCCGUCACCCCCCCGACCCCCAGCUGAC